ACCGCAGACCGCCUUAUCGCUUUAUGUUGAACUUGUUUCAACAUCUAUCUAUAGAUUCUGAAUCAAGUUCAGAAUAAAGAGGAAAGUCCGGACACCACAGAGUAGCAUAACGGGUAACGCCCGUCUCUCGUCUUUCGGGACGAGAAGGACCAGUGCAACAGAAAGUAUGUACAGUUCGGCUGUAGUGAAACCAGGUAAACUCUAUGCGGUGAAAUGCCAUGUAAAUCAACGUUCUGCUCCGGCAGAUAAGGGCUACUCGUCCGAUGUUGAAGGGUAGGCAGCUCGAUUCAAUGGGUAACUAUUGAACUAGAUAAAUGAUGAGGUGAUGCUGAAAUUAAUUCAGUAUUAACAGAAUCCGGCUUAUAGGUCUGCUUUUUUU
RNAcentral lists this RNase P RNA (379 nucleotides) under Flavobacterium lacus. RNAcentral's name for it is "Bacterial RNase P class A". It matches the Rfam family "Bacterial RNase P class A". From Rfam's summary of the family: Ribonuclease P (RNase P) is a ubiquitous endoribonuclease, found in archaea, bacteria and eukarya as well as chloroplasts and mitochondria. Its best characterised activity is the generation of mature 5'-ends of tRNAs by cleaving the 5'-leader elements of precursor-tRNAs. Lineage: Bacteria; Pseudomonadati; Bacteroidota; Flavobacteriia; Flavobacteriales; Flavobacteriaceae. The record is from RNAcentral.